Molecule: long non-coding RNA, 866 nt
Filed under: Homo sapiens (human)
Lineage: Eukaryota; Metazoa; Chordata; Mammalia; Primates; Hominidae
Description: HSALNT0194213
Source: RNAcentral
UUGAGUUUCAGUCACUUUCAACCAAGAGUCUUGACCAAUCUAGUAAGUCAAGGAGCUGUGUAUGGAAGAAGAGGAAGCGAAGAGUUUAAAGCAGGUUGAUAAAAAUCUCAAACCUAAGCCUAAGCAUAUGGCUUAGCCUUUAUUCUGUAGAGAGCAGGGAGCCAUCCAGGCAUUCAGAGGAGGGGAUUAUUGGGAGUAAUGAUUUAGGGAAUCAGUCUGGCAAGAAUGUCCAGGAUGGAGUGCCCUGCAGCAAACCCCAAGAACCCAGGAGAGAAGGGGGACAGUAAAAACAGUCAAAGGAAAUGAGAGCAAAGACAUCAAUAGACAAGACAUUUCCACAAGACACUGGAAGACAAACACUGGAUGCAAAGAAGGUAUCUUGACUUAACACUGAUAACAGAGGCCUGCAAGGGGUAUACCCAUGACAAGAACUGAUUCCCCACCACAAGCUGCAGAAAGGCUCAGCACAAGGAGGCACCAGGAGGCUACUGGAGGAUAUACUCAAGCAAAGUGAGGGAGUAAAGCCAGAGAGAGGAAGAGAAGGGAAUUUGAAACAGGGAAAGUAGCAAAGGGAAGUCCCAAGACAAGCAACCAAACCAGAUCAGACCAGGAGGGGAGAGUCAAUUUUUUUUUUAAAAAGUGACAAAUUAUUGAAAACAUUUGAAUUAUUGGAAAAUAAAUACAUGCCUAACAUUUGUAAUGGACUAUUUGGAAAAAAUCAGAGAUACCUACACAGAAAACUAGGCAAACAAAAACUGAGAUUAUUGUUAAAAUCUAAGAAAAACAAAAUAUUGUACAAGAAAGAAAAUAAUCGCACGGCACUACCUGGCUUAAGAGUGACCCAGCUGGAUGCAGUGGCUCACGCC